CCUACGGGAGGCAGCAGGGGGAAUAUUGGACAAUGGGCGAAAGCCUGAUCCAGCAAUGCCGCGUGAGUGAUGAAGGCCUUAGGGUUGUAAAGCUCUUUUACCCGGGAUGAUAAUGACAGUACCGGGAGAAUAAGCUCCGGCUAACUCCGUGCCAGCAGCCGCGGUAAUACGGAGGGAGCUAGCGUUGUUCGGAAUUACUGGGCGUAAAGCGUACGUAGGCGGUUAUUCAAGUCAGAGGUGAAAGCCCGGGGCUCAACCCCGGAACGGCCUUUGAAACUAGGUAGCUAGAGUCUUGGAGAGGUUAGUGGAAUUCCGAGUGUAGAGGUGAAAUUCGUAGAUAUUCGGAAGAACACCAGUGGCGAAGGCGACUAACUGGACAAGUACUGACGCUGAGGUACGAAAGCGUGGGGAGCAAACAGGAUUAGAUACCCUGGUAGUCCACGCCGUAAACGAUGACUAACUAGCUGGUCCGGGCACGUUGGUGUCGUUGGGUUGGUCGGCGACGCGUACGACGACUUAAGUUAACUUACCGUCCGUCGGGUAGGUACGGUCGGUCGAGAAUAAACUAACUAAUAGAGUAGACGGCGUGAGACGUGUCCGACGGACGACGACGAGGGAGGUUAGG
This 625-nucleotide ribosomal RNA is filed under the name uncultured bacterium. RNAcentral describes it as "bacterial SSU rRNA". The stretch from base 1 to 538 matches the Rfam family "Bacterial small subunit ribosomal RNA", at positions 338 to 873 of the family's 1533-position model. The record is from RNAcentral.